UCCAAAAAAUUCCGUGGACCGUAUAAUGGAGGCGGUGCAAAUCUUUUAAUUUGUAUAAAUCGACCCCAAUUCAUUUUUCACCUCAUUUUUCAUUACCGACAAACCUUAAACACUCUCGAACUCUCCCUAACCUAUUCCAAGUAAACCCAAGAUAAAUCAAGGAUUAAAAGUGAGAAUCAAGUGCUAAAGGUUUUCAAAGUCUUGUUGAAGCUUGUUUCUCCUUCUUGUAGGAGCUUUGGAGGAUACUUCAAGGUGAAGUAAUCUUGGAAUUGAAGUGUUUUUUAGUUCUUGAGGAUUGGCGCUCUAGUUGUGAUAAGCUCGUUGUUGGAUGGCUUGGAUGGCUUGAGGUUGUUGUUCAGCUGGAGCACUCCUCUUGUUCCGUAGUUGCUGUUGUAUUUUUGGUACAUUAUACUUUUGUGUGCAUACGGGUAUGGCUGGGUCCUGUCCUGACCUUAUUAUGUCAUACACUCCAGUAGAGGCUUUUAGACAGUCAGGGUAUAGUUAGACGUUGUAUGGAAAAUCGGCCUAUAUUUUUGCUGCAUAGUAUUUUCUGAUGGCCUUGUCGGCUUGCAUAGUUUUUGUCCAGCAUAGUUGUAUAGUAUGUCUUUUCGGGCUCAUCCCUUUUUCAGCAUAUUUCUCAUAUGAUUUAGCAUAUUUUCAUCUGAUGACCCUCGAGGUCCACUCUUGAUUAUGGUUAUGAUAUGAAAGCAUGUUUAAUGGUGCUCGACAGGUAGGGCCCGGGUGCCUCUCGUGGUCCUCUGGUUUGGGUCAUGACAUUUUCUAUUUGGUGUAUAUAUUUUUUGUGUAUAUACCACUGUUUAAUCAAGAAAUAAAAAUAUUUACUGAAAUAUUUGGUGACCUAGCUUGA
Long non-coding RNA from Lycium ferocissimum, 868 nucleotides. RefSeq lists it as uncharacterized. The transcript has 3 exons. The record is from RefSeq and is a predicted model, not a curated record. Lineage: Eukaryota; Viridiplantae; Streptophyta; Magnoliopsida; Solanales; Solanaceae.